Unclassified non-coding RNA from Fukomys damarensis (Damara mole-rat), 325 nucleotides. Its record names the gene 7SK. It matches the Rfam family "7SK RNA". Rfam says of the family: 7SK was discovered as an abundant small nuclear RNA in the mid-70s but a possible function has only recently been suggested. Two independent studies have found that 7SK RNA binds the CDK9/cyclin T complex (known as elongation factor P-TEFb). Lineage: Eukaryota; Metazoa; Chordata; Mammalia; Rodentia; Bathyergidae. The record is from Ensembl.
AGAUGUGAAGGCAACCUGGCUAUGACAUCUGUCACCCCAUUGAUCACCAGGGUUGAUUGGCUGAUCUGGCUGGUCAGGCGGGGGUUCUCUUCCUCCCUCAUCACUACAUAUGCUUCUCUCAGAAAGCUGCGUGCUCGGUGGAAGAGGAAGACAUUAAUCAGUAGAGGACCAUUUCCAUCAUCAAGUGUAUAAGAGUAGAAUAGCUGUACUUCCCUGCCAGAACCUCCAAACAAGCUCUCAAGGAACAAGAAACUACAUUCCAGGAAGGAGAAAGGACAUGUAAUGGUUUGUGAAAAGAAGCAAAAUGUUUCAAGAAUUAAGCUUU